This 505-nucleotide ribosomal RNA is filed under the name uncultured bacterium. RNAcentral describes it as "bacterial SSU rRNA". It matches the Rfam family "Bacterial small subunit ribosomal RNA", at positions 25 to 518 of the family's 1533-position model. The record is from RNAcentral.
CAGGAUGAACGCUAGCUACAGGCUUAACACAUGCAAGUCGAGGGGCAGCAGGACGAUAGCUUGCUAUUGUUGCUGGCGACCGGCGCACGGGUGAGUAACGCGUAUCCAACCUUCCCCUUAGUAGGGCAUAGCCCGGUGAAAAUCGGAUUAAUACCCUAUGUUAUUCGUCGAGGACAUCUGAAGUGAAUCAAAGAUUUAUCGCUAAGGGAUGGGGAUGCGUCUGAUUAGGUAGUCGGCGGGGUAACGGCCCACCGAGCCCUCGAUCAGUAGGGGUUCUGAGAGGAAGGUCCCCCACACUGGUACUGAGACACGGACCAGACUCCUACGGGAGGCAGCAGUGAGGAAUAUUGGUCAAUGGGCGAGAGCCUGAACCAGCCAAAGUAGCGUGCAGGAUGACGGCCCUAUGGGUUGUAAACUGCUUUUAUACGGGGAUAAAGCGAGGGACGUGUCCCUUAUUGUAGGUACCGUAUGAAUAAGGACCGGCUAAUUCCGUGCCAGCCGCCGC